CUUCAACUACUUGAAGGGUUGCUCCAAAGAGGAGGGAGCUAGGCUGUUCUCGAGGGUAACAGAGGACAGAACAAGGAGCAAUGAUUUCAAAUUACAGCUGGGGAGGUCAAGGUUGGAUAUUAGGAAAAACUUUCUCACUAGGAGGGUGGUGAAGCAUUGGAAUGGGCUAUCUAGGGAGGUGGUAGAAUCUUCAUCUUUGGAGAUUUUUAAGGCUCGGUUAGACAAAACUCUGGCUGGGAUAAUUUAGGGGGAGUGGUCCUGCUUUUUAGCAGGGGGUUGGACUAGAUGACCUCGUGAGGUCCCUUCCAACCCUUUUAUUCUAUGAUUCUAUGAUUCUAUGAGUCAGAAAGAGUAUGAGGAUCCACGGUCCAGAUCCUCAAAGGUACUUAAGUGUUACUUUGUUCACUAUCGUAACAGAGAAUUCCUUGGCACCCAGCUCUCCAGUGGGGUUCUCUACUCUGACUUAGAAGUCCAGGCUCCCCAUACAAUGCAUGGGAAGAGUUAGGUGCCCAAGGAAGAGAGUCCUGAAGCCAGUAAACUGAGAGGGAGCUGUCAAAGCUAGCCAGGAGUGAAAUGAGUAUAAGGUGGAUAGAAAGCUGACUAGAUCAUCGGGCUCAGUGGGUUGUGAUCAACGGCUUGAUGUUUAGGUGGCAGCUGGUAACAAGCGGAGAACAUUGGGGUCAGUACUGGGUUCAGUUUUCUUCCAUAUCUUCAUGAGUGAUUCAUUAGCGAGUUUGCAGAUGACAUAAAGCAGGGGGGAGUGGUAGAUAUGCUGGGCAGAGAUAGGAUACCGAGUGAGCUAGAAAAUUGGUGGAAUGGGCCAAGAAAAAUCAAGAGGUUUAACAAGGACCCGUGCAGGGUCUUGAACUUAGGAUGGAAGAAUCCCAUGCAUGGCUACACCCUGGGGACUGACUGGCCAGGCAGCUGUUCUGCAGAGAAGGACUCGGGGUUACAGUGUACAAGGGGCUGGAUAUCAGUCAGCAGUGUGUCCUUAUUGCUAAGAAAGCGAACGACAUAUUGGACUGUCCUCAGAUCAAGAGAAGUGAUUAUUCACCUCUAUUCAGCACUGGGAAGACUAUUUAAACUAAACAAUUGGUCCACAUUGCAUUGUGAGAGUCUAAGUACAUUUCCCAGACCUGAAGAGUCAUGUACCCCUCACUUGUGGUCACAUGGGCAUUGAGCACCAGCACCAGUCCAUAUCUGCCAGAAGAAGAUGAACAAUGAACCCUCCUGUCCCUGCUGCUUGUAGAGGAAAAGAAAUCCUGAUCAUUGUUGUCAUGUGGGUACAACACUGGUCAACCCAGUUCUGCUCUCUGGCUUCCCUUAAUGACGAGGUAACAUAUACAGUCUCCUGCUGCUCUUGAGAUAUUGUGGGUGGGUAAUCAGUGAAGAUGGUGAAUGUAGCAGCCACCCUUCAACCUACCUAAAUGGUAGAAACAAUGAAGCUCCUUUCUGGAAUGUGGUAGCUGAAAUAGCAACCUCCACCCAAAACAAAAGUACCUUCAACUUUUAAAAAUUUUCAAAAAUAAAGGAAAUUACAAAAUGAUAAAAGUUGUUUGCAACCCAAAAUCAAAAUAUUUCAUUUCCAAAAAAUGUCCAACAUUUUUUCUAUUGAAACAAUUUAGAGAAAACAUGAAUUCAGUAAAUAUUGUCGUGUAAUUAAAUCUGCAUUGUCCUGCUCCAUUCCUACUUGUGUUUAAUGGAAGUCUAGCACUUCUGCUGUCUCUUUGGACACAGGGAAUUUCACUCCCUGCCUGUGCUCUCUCUCUCUCACACACACACUCUCUCUAAUGGUAUUUUCUUUGUGUUCCAAGUAUGAUUCAUAAUUAAACAGAAGUAACUAGCAUUUAUUAAUUGUACUACAGUACCAGUGAACAGGCUCAGUUCUGACUGGGGCCCGUUGUGUUGGACACUACAUAAAACACAUAGACACUGUCCCUGUGCCAAAGAGUUUACAGUCUAAACAAGAUCAAACUAAGAAAAAGACAGACUACAGGUAAAAAGACGACCGGCAUUUUUUCUCCCAAAUACAUAUAUAACCACACACAUAUGAAGUACAGCUAGAGUAAUAGAAGGAUAUGCGUGAUGAUUAGGACUGGCCAAACCUAUGCCCUCUAAACUUUUUAUUGGAUUUUCACUAAACCAUUUUUCAUGAAAAGAAAAAUAUUUGCAUUAUGAAAAGAAUACCACUUCUUUCAUCUAAAAAUCAAAGCCAAAGCCAAAACUCUGAACUCUCCAAAAUAAAUGUUUUCAUUUGGAAAUUCUGCCAUGGUGCCCAGUGAGGUUUGUAGUUCAGGUGCUUCAUGUCCCCCAUUAUCCUCUAUGGGCCAAUCCUUAUAGCUGGACUUCAUCUCCCACCAAUACAUUGUGGCCAUGAGACUUUCCAUGGUACACCACCUUCCAUUAGUGGGCAUCAUGGGAAAUCUAAUCCUAUCAGUGAACAUGGCCCAUUAGGGAGACUGGGAGCAAGAGGCCUCCAAACUACAUAUCCCAUGAUGCACUAUGGUGACAGUUCAGAAUUGAAAUAUUUUCAUUUUUCAUUAAGAAAUUGAAAUUUCCUCUGGAAAAUUUCAACAAAAACAUUCCCCCCCCCCCUCAUUUUUAUAAUAGUUUUCCAUGGAAAAUAUUUUAAUGUGGUUAGGGAUAGGAUAGAUAGAAUUAAAUCCCACUUGAUCCCUCAAAUUAUGGCACAAACAGGAUUUGUCCUUGAUCUGGAUUCUGCAUACAGGUGAAAGCACAGAAACAUUUGUGAAUACUGUUUCCUGUUUUGUGAUCAGAUGCCAUAGGGAGGGAACUACAGGAUUUUUGGCCAUCAUUUCCGAGAGCUAUAGAACAUUGGAAGUGCCCAGAAUGUGCACGGUGGGGGUGGGGGUGGGGGUACACCAGAUAGCUUUUGUCCCUUCCCACCAGUAAGCGAACCAAAGGCCUUCACCACUUUUGGACAUCAAGAAAAACAAAAUUUCCAUUUGGCUCCCAAUUCAUCACAACCCCAGAUAAAAACAUUCAUUCACACAGUGCCCAGCUCUCUUUCCAUCAUCUGUGCUUCCUAACUAUUUCCUCCCCCCCCACUCAAAUACCAGUUCCCUCCCUCCUCUCUUUCCCCCUCCCUACAUACACCCCCCACCCCCAAUCUUCUUAUGUUCCUAAGCAUGUGGACUGAGAUUUUUCAAUGAAACCUAAGGUAGUUAGGUAGAAUGGGGCUAAUUACCAUUGCACUUCCCUGGCGUUUGAAUGCCUAUCACAGUUGCAUCUGGACACCUCCUAACCUUUCCUAUAUUUGUUCUCGCAGGCAGGGCAGAGCUAUUAUUGCAUUUUACAGAUGGAGGGAGGGAUUUUUUUCAAAAGCACUGGAGGAGGCUAACCGCUCAAGGGGGCCAAAAUCAUCCUGACAGAAUGAUUCUCUAUUGGAAGAAUCUGUUCUUUCACAAUAGGGUGUUAAUUCUGAUGAAAUUUAAUUUAGGGAACAUAAAAUGAGACUGGAACAUUCCCAUAAGGCUGAAAUGUUCCAUUUCCACUAUUUGGGGAGGAACCAUUUUGAUUUUCCAUUUGAGAAUGACUUUUUCUUCCAAUUUUUUAAAAAAAAAAAGUUAUUGCAGAAUACUAUAAAUAUAAUAUGAUAUAAAUGUGUGUGUAUGUAUUAUAUACCUAUGUAAAAUCUAAACCAGAAAAGGAUGACAUUUUGUUUCAUAGGAAAUUUGCCUUCCCUCCCUCAUUUUGAAUCUGAUUUUUUGGGGCCUCUGUAGGCACCCAAAUCUCUUUAAAAGCUGGCCUUCAAGCCCAUUUAAAUCAACAGUACCCAGAACAUCUUUGAUGAUCUGGGCCUAAGUGAUUUGUGGCAGAGCAAGAAAAUGAAUUCAUGCCUCCUGUCCUCCAGGCUGGUGCUCUGACCCCUGGGCUAUUCCUCCAGACUGAACUGUAGCACGCCACU
Molecule: long non-coding RNA, 3928 nt
Organism: Pelusios castaneus (West African mud turtle)
Lineage: Eukaryota; Metazoa; Chordata; Testudines; Pelomedusidae
Source: Ensembl